Long non-coding RNA from Passer domesticus (house sparrow), 827 nucleotides. RefSeq lists it as uncharacterized. The transcript has 3 exons. NCBI's taxonomy places the organism in Eukaryota, Metazoa, Chordata, Aves, Passeriformes, Passeridae. The record is from RefSeq and is a predicted model, not a curated record.
CUUUUUCCUGUCUGAAGUGAUGGACCAAACAUCUGUGCAGAAGGAGGCACAUCCUGGAGGAAGCAUAUCCUCAUGGGUAGCCCCUGCUGCAGGAAGGAAGGCGAUGCCAGACACGGGCACAGGCACAGCAGAUGCAGCCAGCACCACAACACGUGUUCGUGAUGCCCAGAAAGGCCUCAGAAGUGUCUUCCAUAUGGGAACAGGCUGCUGGGCAAGGUUAAUGGCAGGCCUGCUUCUGUUGGACCUUGUUCUCAUAUUGUGCUGUGUCAGAAUCUGGUGUAACUGGAAGAAGAAAUGGAGCACCUCUGGAACUUCACAAGACCAGCCAAAGGCCUCAGUGCGGGAGAACUGGGCCUGUCAUCAUGCAUCUCCGUGCCAGUGUCCAUUGUCCCUUCCAGAGGUGUAUUACCAGCUUAUUGCUGGAAAUAUGCUGCAGCCAGUACCUAGAACAGAACCGUCUCUCCCUGAAGGGCCUGGCGUCGCUCUCCAUCCAGGACAGGACGUGCAGCCCUCUAGCCAGGGAAUGGAUUGUUCCAGAAGUUAUAUUUACUUGUAAAAAUUUUAAAUGUUUAUUAAAAACCUUAUUAGAAAUAUAACAGGACACUGAAUAAGGAAAAUGUUACGUCGUCGGGAGUAGAGGUUUUUUCCCACCACAUGCUCAUCCACACAAUGGAGGUUUCACCUUUUAACUCUUUUGCCCUUCUUAAAGUUCUGUCCAUCGACUCCUUUUUUGAUGCCCAGUGGUGGAGUUUACUUCCUUACAUCUCACUUGGAGGUCAGGUGCUGCUGUCGUAGCAAUUUGACCCUCUUAUAUGUCCCAAACUUAA